CUGCACAGGUGGCCAGCAGUGGUGCUGAAGGCUCCCGCUAGUCUACCCAGCGACGCUUUCCUCCCUGCGCGACACGAUUGGAGAGUCUGGAGGCGCGAGCCUCGGUGAAUCCACCCCGCAUCAUCCUCAUCAUCAUCAUACCCCGCUCAGGUCACCUCAGCGCUCGCCUACCGGCAUUUUCCACCUCCCGUCUCCGAAGAUGAUACCUGGCGAGCGAGGAGCUGCAGUCAUGUCCUUCUCGGUGGUGAUAAUCGGAGCCCUGAUGCUGCAGUCGGUCUCUUCCCAGAACGCGGGCUUUGUGAAAUCACCUCUUUCUGAGACUAAGCUCACGGGCGACACCUUUGAGCUGUACUGUGACGUGGUGGGAAACCCCACCCCAGAGAUCCAGUGGUGGUACUCUGAGAUCAACCGAGCCGAUUCCUUCAGGCAGCUGUGGGACGGCGCCCGCAAGCGGCGAGUGUCCAUCAGCACGGCCUACGGCGCCAACGCCGUGAGCGUGUUGGGUGUCUCUCGUCUCACGCUGGACGAUGCUGGGACCUAUGAGUGCAGAGCCAGCAAUGACCCGCGACGUAACGACCUGCACCAAAAUCCUGCCACCACCUGGAUCCGUGCUCAGGCCACUAUAACGGUGCUGCAGAAGCCGUCAAUCACCGCCUCUGAACACACCACACUGCCUGUGGAAGGCGAUGCUUUCACACUGCAGUGCAAUCUGACCGGCGCCCACAGUGCCCACCAGGAGAGCUUCUGGAUGAAGAACGGGGAGGAGAUCCCGGAAACACGCACCCCAAACAGGAACACCGAGUACAGGCUGAACAAACCAAGAGGAGACGACGCCGGAGUGUACAUGUGCGUCUACACCUUCGAACUGGCUCCUCCGGCCAACGCCACCAUCGAAGUUAAAUCUGCUCCUGAGAUUACAGGCCACAAGCGUAGUGAGAAUAAGAACGAGGGCCAGCGUGCUGUACUCUACUGUAAGUCUGUGGGAUAUCCUCACCCCGUCUGGACCUGGCGCAAAUUCGACAACGGCAUUUACAGGGAAAUCGACAACUCAACCGGACGCUUCUUCAUCAGCAGCAGAGACAACUACACUGAGCUCCACAUCGCCAACCUUGACAUUGGUUUAGAUCCAGGAGAGUACCACUGCAACGCCACCAACAUGAUCGGCAGCCGCGAGGAGAAGUCUGUGCUCAGGGUCCGCAGCCACUUGGCCCCCCUGUGGCCUCUCCUGGGGGUUUUGGCCGAGAUCAUCAUCCUGGUCGUCAUCAUCGUUGUUUACGAGAAGCGUAAGAAGCCGGAGGAUUUACAAGACGCUUCACCCCUGCCUGUCUUUAGAGCUCAGUGCUCCCCAAAUCUGGGUCACAAAUAACUGGGAGCAUCCUGCAGUAGUGCUCUGCUGCAUUCACAUAAAUCACAGGGAGGAGUUUAAAGUCAAGAAAACUAAUUCAACCAACAACCACAAAGACAAGAACCUCCGCCAGAGGAACACAAACUAAGCAGCCCGUCUGCUGAGUUGCAUUACACAUGUAUUGACCAUAUGAAGGUAAACAAGAAGGGAAUCCAUACCAAUUGUUAAUAGGAUUUAUCUGCCAUUAAAAGUAUGGUUGUGGAGGAGUUAAGUGAGGCAUGCCUUAUGAUUUUGUUGUGUGAGCGUGCGAGGUCAGGAAGUACUCAAACCAUUAUGGGAUUGCUAACAUUAUAACCAUUGUUGCUGCAUGCAGUUGUUGACGUUUAUGAUUUUUCCCUCUUAUCCACUAAUUUUAAUAUUUUUACUACUUCUAAAAUAAUGCAUGCAAGAUGUUGACCUUCUAUUUGAAGGCAGAAAUGCUUUUUUGUUUUUUUGUUCUUUUCUCUGAGAGUGGCUUCAUGUAGAUAAUCUGUGUGUUGUAGAGGAAAAACAAAACUGGGCAAUGUAAAAGAAAAUGCCACCAUAAUCGGGUAUGACAGUUGUGUAUAGUUUUAUCAUUCUGCUGCAUACCAUUUUCUAAGUUUAAUCAUUUUAUCAGACAAUAUCUAUUACAUUUUAAGGGCUUUGCAAUGUCCCUCUAAAUUUGAUUAAGGUUUACUUUAUGUAUGUACUGUAUGUGUUAAAUCACUAUAACUAUGUAUCAGAUCAGCAUUAUUAUAAAGACAAUUCAUAUUAUAUGAUGCACUUAAAUGUUAAGAAUAAUGAAAAACUGUAUAAACCUACUUUAGGAGAUCUGUGCUAAUCAUUCUAACAUUGUUUUAUAAUCAUGUGUAUUGUACAGCAUGGCUAUUAUCCUAUGCAAUUAUUAUCCAUAUCAAUAUAUUGAAAAUCAUUGCAGCUUUUGAUUUCUCUGUGACAAAGCUUUAAACUAGUAGGAUCACCGUAGAGCGUUGAUGGCAUACUACACAGCUGCAUGAAUUCUCUACAGCUGACGUGGGGGUGGGGGCGGCGAGAGAAGCCCACGUCAGGACUGACACAUGUGAAGCAAACUGCAAGGUCCCGACUCAUUUUUAAG
Chelmon rostratus (copperband butterflyfish) is the source of this 2480-nucleotide RNA transcript. It is a transcript of the gene named neuroplastin-like, with no coding region annotated. The transcript has 9 exons. The record is from RefSeq and is a predicted model, not a curated record. Lineage: Eukaryota; Metazoa; Chordata; Actinopteri; Chaetodontiformes; Chaetodontidae.